Molecule: unclassified non-coding RNA, 298 nt
Filed under: fungal sp.
Lineage: Eukaryota; Fungi
Description: partial contains 5.8S ribosomal RNA, internal transcribed spacer 2, and large subunit ribosomal RNA
Source: RNAcentral
CGCACCUUGCGCUCCUUGGUAUUCCGAGGAGCAUGCCUGUUUGAGUGUCAUUAAAUUCUCAACCUCACCCGUUUUCAUUAACCUGCUGAGGCUUGGAUGUGGGGGUUUGUGCAGGCUGCGCCUCAGCGUGCGGUCUGCUCCCCUGAAAUGCAUUAGCGAGUUCAUACUGAACCUCCGUCUAUUGGUGUGAUAAUUAUCUACGCCGUGGACUUGGUUUAGACUCGCUUCUAACCGUCCGCGAGGACAAUACCUUUGACAAUUUGACCUCAAAUCAGGUAGGACUACCCGCUGAACUUAA